GGGGGUGGAUGGGACCUGGUGGUUCCUGCGGUCUUCAAAACCGUCUGUUGGGCGUUAACCCGUCCAAGGUGGGUUCGAUUCCUACACACUCCCGCCA
Molecule: transfer RNA, 97 nt
Filed under: Negativicutes bacterium
Lineage: Bacteria; Bacillati; Bacillota; Negativicutes
Description: tRNA-Sec
Rfam family: Selenocysteine transfer RNA
Source: RNAcentral